UACAGAGGUCCCAAGCGUUGUUCGGAUUCACUGGGCGUAAAGGGUGCGUAGGUGGUUUGGUAAGUUCGAUGUGAAAUCUCCGAGCUUAACUUGGAAACUGCAUUGAAAACUAUUGAACUGGAGGAUUGGAGGGGGGACUGGAAUACUUGGUGUAGCAGUGAAAUGCGUAGAUAUCAAGUGGAACACCAGUGGCGAAGGCGAGUCCCUGGACAAAUCCUGACACUGAGGCACGAAAGCCAGGGGAGCAAACAGG
RNAcentral lists this ribosomal RNA (253 nucleotides) under uncultured bacterium. RNAcentral's name for it is "partial 16S ribosomal RNA". It matches the Rfam family "Bacterial small subunit ribosomal RNA", at positions 524 to 776 of the family's 1533-position model. The record is from RNAcentral.